RNAcentral lists this transfer RNA (77 nucleotides) under Pseudomonadota bacterium. Its description in RNAcentral is "tRNA-Arg". It matches the Rfam family "tRNA". From Rfam's summary of the family: Transfer RNA (tRNA) molecules are approximately 80 nucleotides in length. The record is from RNAcentral. Lineage: Bacteria; Pseudomonadati; Pseudomonadota.
CCGCUCCUAGCUCAACCGGAUAGAGCGUCGGGCUUCGAACCCCAAGGCUGGGGGUUCGAGACCCUCGGAGCGGGCCA